This 253-nucleotide ribosomal RNA is filed under the name uncultured bacterium. RNAcentral describes it as "partial 16S ribosomal RNA". It matches the Rfam family "Bacterial small subunit ribosomal RNA", at positions 524 to 776 of the family's 1533-position model. The record is from RNAcentral.
UACGAACCGUGCGAACGUUGUUCGGAAUCACUGGGCUUAAAGGGCGCGUAGGCGGGUCACCAAGUCCGGGGUGAAAUCUUUCGGCUUAACCGGAAAAUAGCCUUGGAUACUGGUAAUCUCGAGGGAGGUAGGGGUCUGUGGAACUUCUGGUGGAGCGGUGAAAUGCGUUGAUAUCAGAAGGAACGCCGGUGGCGAAAGCGACGGACUGGACCUCCACUGACGCUGAGGCGCGAAAGCCAGGGGAGCAAACGGG